Molecule: ribosomal RNA, 237 nt
Filed under: uncultured bacterium
Lineage: Bacteria
Description: partial 16S ribosomal RNA
Rfam family: Bacterial small subunit ribosomal RNA
Source: RNAcentral
CGAACGGGUGAGUAACGCGUGAGGAACCUGCCUCAAAGAGGGGGACAACAGUUGGAAACGGCUGCUAAUACCGCAUAAGCCCACGGCUCGGCAUCGAGCAGAGGGAAAAGGAGCAAUCCGCUUUGAGGUGGCCUCGCGUCCGAUUAGCUAGUUGGUGAGGUAAUGGCCCACCAAGGCAACGAUCGGUAGCCGGACUGAGAGGUUGAACGGCCACAUUGGGACUGAGACACGGCCCAG